Molecule: unclassified non-coding RNA, 348 nt
Filed under: soil metagenome
Description: partial contains 5.8S ribosomal RNA, internal transcribed spacer 2, and large subunit ribosomal RNA
Rfam family: 5.8S ribosomal RNA (bases 1-120)
Source: RNAcentral
GUUGAAGAACGCAGCGAAAUGCGAAAAGUAAUGUGAAUUGCAGAAUUCAGUGAACCAUCGAAUCUUUGAACGCACAUUGCGCCCGCUGGAACUCCGGCGGGCACGCCUGUCCGAGCGUCAUUUCAACCCUCAGGCCCCCCUUCGCGGGCGGGCCUGGUGUUGGGGCCCGGCCGCUACCCUGCGGCCGUCCCCUAAAUUCAGUGGCGGCCUCGCCGUGAUCCCUUGCGUAGUAAUGCACCUCGCACCGGAGAGCGCCGUGGCCACGCCGUAAAACCCCCAAUUUUCAAUGGUUGACCUCGGAUCAGGUGGGAAUACCCGCUGAACUUAAGCAUAUCAAUAAGCGGAGGA